GGUAUGCUUCUUCGGAAGCAGAGACCGGCGCACGGGUGCGUAACGCGUAUGCAAUCUACCUUUUACAGAGGGAUAGCCCAGAGAAAUUUGGAUUAAUACCUCAUAGUAUAGCUGAAUCGCAUGAUUCUACUAUUAAAGUCACAACGGUAAAAGAUGAGCAUGCGUCCCAUUAGCUAGUUGGUAAGGUAACGGCUUACCAAGGCUACGAUGGGUAGGGGUCCUGAGAGGGAGAUCCCCCACACUGGUACUGAGACACGGACCAGACUCCUACGGGAGGCAGCAGUGAGGAAUAUUGGACAAUGGGCGCAAGCCUGAUCCAGCCAUGCCGCGUGCAGGAUGACGGUCCUAUGGAUUGUAAACUGCUUUUAUACGAGAAGAAACACUGCUUCGUGAAGCAGCUUGACGGUAUCGUAAGAAUAAGGAUCGGCUAACUCCGUGCCAGCAGCCGCGGUAAUACGGAGGAUCCAAGCGUUAUCCGGAAUCAUUGGGUUUAAAGGGUCCGUAGCGCGGUUUAAUAAGUCAGUGGUGAAAGCCCAUCGCUCAACGGUGGAACGGCCAUUGAUACUGUUAAACUUGAAUUAUUAGGAAGUAACUAGAAUAUGUAGUGUAGCGGUGAAAUGCUUAGAGAUUACAUGGAAUACCAAUUGCGAAGGCAGGUUACUACUAAUGGAUUGACGCUGAUGGACGAAAGCGUGGGUAGCGAACAGGAUUAGAUAACCCUGGUAGUCCACGCCGUAAACGAUGGAUACUAGCUGUUGGGAGCAAUCUCAGUGGCUAAGCGAAAGUGAUAAGUAUCCCACCUGGGGAGUACGUUCGCAAGAAUGAAACUCAAAGGAAUUGACGGGGGCCCGCACAAGCGGUGGAGCAUGUGGUUUAAUUCGAUGAUACGCGAGGAACCUUACCAAGGCUUAAAUGUAGAUUGACCGGUUUGGAAACAGAUCUUUCGCAAGACAAUUUACAAGGUGCUGCAUGGUUGUCGUCAGCUCGUGCCGUGAGGUGUCAGGUUAAGUCCUAUAACGAGCGCAACCCCUGUUGUUAGUUGCCAGCGAGUCAUGUCGGGAACUCUAACAAGACUGCCAGUGCAAACUGUGAGGAAGGUGGGGAUGACGUCAAAUCAUCACGGCCCUUACGCCUUGGGC
Molecule: ribosomal RNA, 1139 nt
Filed under: Flavobacterium sp.
Lineage: Bacteria; Pseudomonadati; Bacteroidota; Flavobacteriia; Flavobacteriales; Flavobacteriaceae
Description: bacterial SSU rRNA
Rfam family: Bacterial small subunit ribosomal RNA
Source: RNAcentral